CUGCUCAAUGAUAUUUAAAAUAUUAAAUAGCCGCUAUUUAGUGCUAAGGUAGCAUAAUCAUUUGCUUUUUAAUUAAAAGCUAGAAUGAAAGGUAAAACAUUUAAAUUUCUUUAUUAAAAUUAAAUUUUUAAUUUAUAUUAAGUAUAAAAAUAUACUUUUUUUAAAAAAAGACGACAAGACCCUAUUAAACUUAACUUAUGUUUAACUGGGGCAGUUAUUUAAUAAAAAUUUUAAUAAAAAAUUAUAUUUAAAAAUAUCUAAUAAUAUUAAAUAUAACAAGUUACUAUAGGGAUAACAGCGUUAUAAUUUUUUAAAGCUCUUAUUUAAAAAAUUGAUUGCGACCUCGAUGUUGAAUUAUAUUUCUUUAUUUAUGCA
RNAcentral lists this ribosomal RNA (375 nucleotides) under Anelosimus iwawakiensis. Its description in RNAcentral is "partial 16S ribosomal RNA". The record is from RNAcentral. Lineage: Eukaryota; Metazoa; Arthropoda; Arachnida; Araneae; Theridiidae.